This 802-nucleotide ribosomal RNA is filed under the name Arcicella sp. Its description in RNAcentral is "bacterial SSU rRNA". It matches the Rfam family "Bacterial small subunit ribosomal RNA", at positions 82 to 887 of the family's 1533-position model. Lineage: Bacteria; Pseudomonadati; Bacteroidota; Cytophagia; Cytophagales; Flectobacillaceae. The record is from RNAcentral.
UAGCAAUAUCAUAGUGGCGCACGGGUGCGUAACACGUAUGCAACCUACCUUAUACUUAGGGAUAGCCUUUGGAAACGGAGAUUAAUACCUAAUAGUACAUUUGACUGGCAUCGGUUGACUGUUAAAGAUUUAUUGGUAUAAGAUGGGCAUGCGUCCAAUUAGUUAGUUGGUGAGGUAAUGGCUCACCAAGACGAUGAUUGGUAGGGGAACUGAGAGGUUAAUCCCCCACACUGGCACUGAGAUACGGGCCAGACUCCUACGGGAGGCAGCAGUAGGGAAUAUUGGGCAAUGGAGGGAACUCUGACCCAGCCAUGCCGCGUGCAGGAUGAAGGCGUUAUGCGUUGUAAACUGCUUUUAUAUAGGAAGAAAUAGUCCUUGCGAGGAAAGUUGACGGUACUAUAUGAAUAAGCACCGGCUAACUCCGUGCCAGCAGCCGCGGUAAUACGGAGGGUGCAAGCGUUGUCCGGAUUUAUUGGGUUUAAAGGGUGCGUAGGCGGUUUAUUAAGUCAGUGGUGAAAGACGGUCGCUCAACGAUUGCAGUGCCAUUGAUACUGGUAGACUUGAGUAUGAUUGAGGUAGCUGGAAUGGAUAGUGUAGCGGUGAAAUGCAUAGAUAUUAUCCAGAACACCAAUUGCGUAGGCAAGUUACUAAGUCAUAACUGACGCUGAGGCACGAAAGUGUGGGUAUCAAACAGGAUUAGAUACCCUGGUAGUCCACACUGUAAACGAUGAUAACUAACUGUUGGCUUUUGGGUCAGUGGUACAGAGAAAUCGUUAAGUUAUCCACCUGGGGGAGUACGCCG